Long non-coding RNA from Dicentrarchus labrax (European seabass), 598 nucleotides. RefSeq lists it as uncharacterized. The record is from RefSeq and is a predicted model, not a curated record. Lineage: Eukaryota; Metazoa; Chordata; Actinopteri; Moronidae. The transcript is spliced from 4 exons.
CAGGUUGUUCUGAUAUAUUUGAGGAGUGGUUCUCCCUCUGUUCUAUAUGUGGACUUGUUCUCUCAUUUGGGACCACUGUUAGAAUUUGGCUGACCACUUGACAUGUGAGAGCCUGAGGAGUUGUUCCCCCUCCGUCCAUGUUCGAGGACUUGCUCUCUCUCUGCCUCCACUUCACCACUUUUUGGCUACUGAGACGUCUCUGAUUGGUUGAGUUGACCACCCUAUAUAUGAGAGCCUAAGGAGUUGUUUUCCCUCUGUCCCCUUUUGAGGACCUGCUUUGUCUCCUCCAUCAUUCACUGGGCCACUUUUGGGUUCCUGAGCUUAUUUCAUGUGGUCAUGAAUUUGGUGAGGAGUGGAGCUGGCUGGCUGCGGACGAGGAAGUAGGGCAAUAUAUACAUGUGCACAUACACGUAUAUGAGAAUGCAUAUCUAUUCAGACCUGUAAUUCAUGUCUUAGACUUUUUCACACAGCUAUAGAUCAUUAUUUGUUUUUCAAUUCUCUAUUUAUGGUUUCAUAAUGACUGAGUCACCGUUAAAACAAAUGAGUUUCAGCUCUAAUGCUGCUACUGUCUGUAAUAUGUUUCUAUUUAGAUUAUUUG